UAUAUUUUAUGGGGUCGGAAACGCUUUUUUCUGGGUGUUAAAUCCACUUCCACCACAAAUCUGAUAUAACCCUAUACUCUUUAAGUAUCGGGUAUAAAAACCGAAGAGUCCCUUAAAUACUCUAGUAGUUAUUGCCCUCAAAUUAGCAUUUAAUAUCUUCAUAUUCACAUUUAUAAUAUCUUCAUAACAUCAACUGAAAUUGAAUAGCAAUAUUGUGUACAUGUAUCUAUGAGCCUGUCUUCAAUUAAGUUGAAAAUUCUUGGAACCUACUUCUGACUCAACGAAAUCAAAUUUCGCAAGACAUCUCCAUUGCAAAAACUGAUUUUCUCAGAACGAAGCAUUCCUUAGGAUGGUUUUUUGCAGACUCAACGAAACUUAAAUUUCGUAUGGUAUCUCCAUUUCGUAAGUACAAAAGAGUUUUACCGACUUUUCCAAUUAAAGUUAGCAUACAAUUUCCUGUUUAAAGGAUGAUUUCGUUGAAUUUUAAGUCUGGCAACUUUCCAACUUGUUGCUGACUCAUGGGAAUCGAUUUUCCACAGAGAUAUUCGCGUUCAGAACUGAAAUUUCACCACACAAACCAAUUAUAACGAAUUCCACAGCUGUUUUUGGCACUCCGCAAGCCAGGCGCUGACUCAUCUAAUUACAUUUCGCAUGGUAUCUCCACUUUACAAUUUUGUUUCAGACCAGCUUCGUUCUCACUUGUUCACAUUAGACUUUCGCCAUAUACAUAUUGUAUGUAUCUAUCUCUUACGGCCUGAAAUUUCAGUCGCUAAAACCCUUCACACAUGACGUACAACAUUGCCUGACGUAAUCCAUCUGCCGGCAGAUCUCGCGAGCUGAAAUUUCACACAGACAACACCACAGAGGAGUGGUUCGCUACCUGCGAACGUACACCCCUUAUAUACCUUUUAUCUUCAGCUGUACCUUUGGCAGCAUAUCUCUUUUGGAACAUUCAAGAAUUUCAUAUCGAGAACCCCACAGAAAUAUAUUAUCUUUUCGUGCCGGACAGAAACGAAAAAACAUUUACCGAAAGCUCUUGUUGUGGAUUUUCAUUUUUCAGCUUUUUAACUGCGAGGCGAGUCAUGUGGCGAUGAAUGAGUUUUGGAGUUCUGGAUAGUUAGAAUAGCUUAACAAGUGCGACUGUGCAGAGGUCGAUCACGUCCAAGCAUAUGUAUAAUGAGUGUCCGGAUCGGCUCGGAACGGAUCUGGCUGGGACGAGGCUCUGGUUCCGGCUCUGGCUGUGACCUUGCGCCGUUGCUUGUUGGCCGACCCGACUGCUAAACUACGCGAGUUGCGCAUUUUAAUAUGCUACAGGUACAACCGGAGAGAAGAGGAGGGAGCCGUAGUGUAGCGCUUUGACACAUAACUGAUGUUGAAGGGCCCGCCGAAUGCGAUAAAUAAUUCAUUGAUAUAGUUAUACAUAUUGUUUACUGUGGGGUGUUGUUAGAUUCCUCGAGUGACGGCGGCGAGUCGGAAGGCGUUUUGAUAUUGUACCUCCAUGAAUAAUUGAUUUAUCUCUGGUCACUUGAGAGUUUGUUACCCACUAGUAGCAAUAGAAUGGCACUCAGUGGUGCGAUAAGGAGCCAUCAUCGGUGGACUGCACAACGAUCCAUAUACAUAUGAAUCACAGCACACUGCAUAGCUUUAGCAUAGCACCUACGCCUCGUCCGACAACACGUCUUAAAAUAACAGACUGAAAACGUAUGUAGAGCAAAACACAUGUUGAUAGUACAUAUAUGGGUCAUUGCCGAUAAGCAUUCUAUUGCAUAUUUUACCAAAAUUUUUUGUGUUUUGCGUAAUUGGGCUUUAAUGAUAGCAAGAAAAAUGGAAAUGAAAAUGGCACUUAAAUAUACAUAGUAUGUAUGUAUAAAAAAAUAUACUAAAAUAGCAUAAAA
Long non-coding RNA from Drosophila miranda, 1895 nucleotides. RefSeq lists it as uncharacterized. The transcript has 3 exons. Lineage: Eukaryota; Metazoa; Arthropoda; Insecta; Diptera; Drosophilidae. The record is from RefSeq and is a predicted model, not a curated record.